UGAAGCUUUUGUAGGUGAAGCUUUUGUAGGUCAAGCUUUUGUGGGUCAAGCUUUUGUAGGUGAAGCUUUUGUGGGUGAAGCUUUUGUGUUGAAGCUUUUGUGGGUGAAGCUUUUGUGUUGAAGCUUUAAGCUUUUGUAGGUCAAGCUUUUGUGGGUCAAGCUUUUGUAGGUGAAGCUUUUGUGUUGAAGCUUUUGUGGGUGAAGCUUUUGUGUUGAAGCUUUUGUGGGUGAAGCUUUUAUAGGUGAAGCUUUGGAGUUAAAGCUUUGUAGGUGAAGCUUUGUGGGUGAAGCUUUUGUGGGUGAAGCUUUUGUAGGUGAAGCUUUUGUGGGUUAAGCUUUUGUAGGUCAAGCUUUUGUGGGUGAAGCUUUUGUAGGUGAAGCUUUUGUGGGUGAAGCUUUUG
This 401-nucleotide long non-coding RNA is filed under the name Malus domestica (apple). RNAcentral describes it as "long non-coding RNA (MDOM_LNC005003)". Lineage: Eukaryota; Viridiplantae; Streptophyta; Magnoliopsida; Rosales; Rosaceae. The record is from RNAcentral.